Molecule: ribosomal RNA, 406 nt
Filed under: uncultured bacterium
Lineage: Bacteria
Description: partial 16S ribosomal RNA
Rfam family: Bacterial small subunit ribosomal RNA
Source: RNAcentral
AUUGAACGCUGGCGGCAGGCCUAACACAUGCAAGUCGAACGAGUGGCGGACGGGUGAGUAAUGUCUGGGAAACUGCCUGAUGGAGGGGGAUAACUCCUGGAAACGGUAGCUAAUACCGCAUACCAUCAGAUGUGCCCAGAUGGGAUUAGCUUGUUGGUGGGGUAACGGCUCACCAAGGCGACGAUCCCUAUCUGGUCUGAGAGGAUGACCAGCCACACUGGAACUGAGACACGGGCCAGACUCCUACGGGAGGCAGCAGUGGGGAAUAUUGCACAAUGGGCGAAAGCCUGAUGCAGCAAUGCCGCGUGUAUGAAGAAGGCCUUCGGGUUGUAAAGUACUUUAAGCGGGGAGGGGUUACCAGAAGAAGAAGCACCGGCUAACUCCGUGCCAGCAGCCGCGGUAAUAG